GCGCGAUGCGCACUGCGCGUCAGUCUACGUCAAUCUCCCCUCCACCGUCUCCUACUGCGCAGCACGACGAAGCAAGAGAGAAGCAUCUCUCUCUCUCUCUCUCUCUCUUUGAAGAUGUUUUCAAAAAAUCGUUUUCUUAUCAAGAAUAUGUAUGUCACAGUGUGCUAUCUACAUGAGGGUUGACAUGGUUUUGUGAUGAAGCUAUGGAAGAUACGAAGAUAUAAUUUCCAAGCAGAUAAAAUAGGAUCGAAAUAUCUGAUGUGAAAUUCUAGAUUUUUCUACAAGGCUCCAGCGAGACAAGAUAAGGAAUCUUACAAUUUUGUUUAAUAUGAUGGAAAUGUUACAUGAAAAGGUAUUUUUCUCUCUGUUUUUAUAAAAAGUGUAAAUCUUGUGCAUAUAAAACUUGUGUAUAAACUCGUAUGUAUAAAGCUCGUAACAAAAAUUAAUGAGAAAUGUA
This is a long non-coding RNA of Nylanderia fulva, 457 nucleotides long. RefSeq lists it as uncharacterized. The record is from RefSeq and is a predicted model, not a curated record. NCBI's taxonomy places the organism in Eukaryota, Metazoa, Arthropoda, Insecta, Hymenoptera, Formicidae.